RNAcentral lists this ribosomal RNA (427 nucleotides) under uncultured bacterium. RNAcentral's name for it is "bacterial SSU rRNA". It matches the Rfam family "Bacterial small subunit ribosomal RNA", at positions 355 to 774 of the family's 1533-position model. The record is from RNAcentral.
UGGGGAAUUUUGGACAAUGGACGCAAGUCUGAUCCAGCCAUGCCGCGUGCGGGAAGAAGGCCUUCGGGUUGUAAACCGCUUUUGUCAGGGAAGAAACGAGUUUCUCUAAUACAGAGACUUAAUGACGGUACCUGAAGAAUAAGCACCGGCUAACUACGUGCCAGCAGCCGCGGUAAUACGUAGGGUGCGAGCGUUAAUCGGAAUUACUGGGCGUAAAGCGUGCGCAGGCGGUUAUAUAAGACAGAUGUGAAAUCCCCGGGCUCAACCUGGGAACUGCAUUUGUGACUGUAUUGCUAGAGUACGGCAGAGGGGGAUGGAAUUCCGCGUGUAGCAGUGAAAUGCGUAGAUAUGCGGAGGAACACCGAUGGCGAAGGCAAUCCCCUGGGCCUGCACUGACGCUCAUGCACGAAAGCGUGGGGAGCAAACA